Molecule: ribosomal RNA, 1436 nt
Filed under: Klebsiella pneumoniae subsp. rhinoscleromatis
Lineage: Bacteria; Pseudomonadati; Pseudomonadota; Gammaproteobacteria; Enterobacterales; Enterobacteriaceae
Also listed under: 1 other name
Description: bacterial SSU rRNA
Rfam family: Bacterial small subunit ribosomal RNA
Source: RNAcentral
AUCCUGGCUCAGAUUGAACGCUGGCGGCAGGCCUAACACAUGCAAGUCGAGCGGUAGCACAGAGAGCUUGCUCUCGGGUGACGAGCGGCGGACGGGUGAGUAAUGUCUGGGAAACUGCCUGAUGGAGGGGGAUAACUACUGGAAACGGUAGCUAAUACCGCAUAACGUCGCAAGACCAAAGUGGGGGACCUUCGGGCCUCAUGCCAUCAGAUGUGCCCAGAUGGGAUUAGCUAGUAGGUGGGGUAACGGCUCACCUAGGCGACGAUCCCUAGCUGGUCUGAGAGGAUGACCAGCCACACUGGAACUGAGACACGGUCCAGACUCCUACGGGAGGCAGCAGUGGGGAAUAUUGCACAAUGGGCGCAAGCCUGAUGCAGCCAUGCCGCGUGUGUGAAGAAGGCCUUCGGGUUGUAAAGCACUUUCAGCGGGGAGGAAGGCGAUAAGGUUAAUAACCUUGUCGAUUGACGUUACCCGCAGAAGAAGCACCGGCUAACUCCGUGCCAGCAGCCGCGGUAAUACGGAGGGUGCAAGCGUUAAUCGGAAUUACUGGGCGUAAAGCGCACGCAGGCGGUCUGUCAAGUCGGAUGUGAAAUCCCCGGGCUCAACCUGGGAACUGCAUUCGAAACUGGCAGGCUAGAGUCUUGUAGAGGGGGGUAGAAUUCCAGGUGUAGCGGUGAAAUGCGUAGAGAUCUGGAGGAAUACCGGUGGCGAAGGCGGCCCCCUGGACAAAGACUGACGCUCAGGUGCGAAAGCGUGGGGAGCAAACAGGAUUAGAUACCCUGGUAGUCCACGCCGUAAACGAUGUCGAUUUGGAGGUUGUGCCCUUGAGGCGUGGCUUCCGGAGCUAACGCGUUAAGUCGACCGCCUGGGGAGUACGGCCGCAAGGUUAAAACUCAAAUGAAUUGACGGGGGCCCGCACAAGCGGUGGAGCAUGUGGUUUAAUUCGAUGCAACGCGAAGAACCUUACCUACUCUUGACAUCCAGAGAACUUAGCAGAGAUGCUUUGGUGCCUUCGGGAACUGUGAGACAGGUGCUGCAUGGCUGUCGUCAGCUCGUGUUGUGAAAUGUUGGGUUAAGUCCCGCAACGAGCGCAACCCUUAUCCUUUGUUGCCAGCGGUUCGGCCGGGAACUCAAAGGAGACUGCCAGUGAUAAACUGGAGGAAGGUGGGGAUGACGUCAAGUCAUCAUGGCCCUUACGACCAGGGCUACACACGUGCUACAAUGGCAUAUACAAAGAGAAGCGACCUCGCGAGAGCAAGCGGACCUCAUAAAGUAUGUCGUAGUCCGGAUUGGAGUCUGCAACUCGACUCCAUGAAGUCGGAAUCGCUAGUAAUCGUAGAUCAGAAUGCUACGGUGAAUACGUUCCCGGGCCUUGUACACACCGCCCGUCACACCAUGGGAGUGGGUUGCAAAAGAAGUAGGUAGCUUAACCUUCG